CGUGCAGGCUGUUCUAUCGUCACGCCUCUGGCGUGGAGGAAAGUCGGGACAACACAGAGCACCAUACUUCCUAACAGGAAGGACUUCCGUGUGAAACGGGAGGACAGCAAGUGCCACAGAAAAUAACCGCCGAUGCCGGGGCUUUUCAAAGGGCUUCGGCAGGCAAGGGUGAAAACGUGGGGUAAGAGCCCACGCGAUGUUGUGGUGACACAGCACCGGGGUAAACCUUAUGGGUUGCAAGUCCAAGUAUGCCGGCGCUCCCGGAAUCCCGGGAAAAGGGCUGCUCGUCCGAUGCCGGCGGGUAGGAUGCUGGAGCCAUGCAGUGAUGUAUGGCCAAGAGAAAUGAUAGAACCCCGUCAAUUACGGGAGACAGAAUCCCGCUUACAGGCCUGCACGGCUU
RNAcentral lists this RNase P RNA (400 nucleotides) under Bacteroidetes bacterium 4484_276. Its description in RNAcentral is "RNase P RNA component class A". It matches the Rfam family "Bacterial RNase P class A". From Rfam's summary of the family: Ribonuclease P (RNase P) is a ubiquitous endoribonuclease, found in archaea, bacteria and eukarya as well as chloroplasts and mitochondria. The record is from RNAcentral. Lineage: Bacteria; Pseudomonadati; Bacteroidota.